CAUGCACCAGUGGGGUCCCUCAGCCUGGCCUGCACCCUCUCGCAAUUUGGGACCCCUCAAGGGAUAUAGGAGAGCCAGUUUCGGCCCAAUCCUACAGGCCAGGCUGAGGGACCCCACUGGUGCAGG
RNAcentral lists this microRNA precursor (126 nucleotides) under Myotis brandtii (Brandt's bat). RNAcentral describes it as "mir-9193 microRNA precursor family". It matches the Rfam family "mir-9193 microRNA precursor family". The record is from Rfam by way of RNAcentral. Lineage: Eukaryota; Metazoa; Chordata; Mammalia; Chiroptera; Vespertilionidae.